Molecule: long non-coding RNA, 285 nt
Filed under: Elaeis guineensis (African oil palm)
Lineage: Eukaryota; Viridiplantae; Streptophyta; Magnoliopsida; Arecales; Arecaceae
Description: long non-coding RNA (EGUI_LNC012453)
Source: RNAcentral
CUUGAUUCAGUACUACCGAUAGUUGAUCUGGAGGCAUGUCGAAAGAAUAAACUGGAGUAGAUCACAAAUCAUGGCUGUGAGCAUCCCAUGCAUGUAAAUAUCUUUUUCAUUCUCUCUCUCUCUCUUUUUACAUCGGUAUAUGACCAAUCUGAACUUUCGACUUGUAGGUCACCAUCAACUUUCAGAUUAUAUAUGAAAAUAUGGUCUAUCUGCUGAAAAAUAAAGAAGUCAUUGAUGCCAAUUUGAAAAUUCUCCAAGAGGAGAAAAAGGCUGCUAAAAAAAGUC